ACGUAGGGACCAAGCGUUGUUCGGAUUUACUGGGCGUAAAGGGCGCGUAGGCGGCGCGGUAAGUCACUUGUGAAAUCUCUGAGCUUAACUCAGAACGGCCAAGUGAUACUGCAGUGCUAGAGUGUGGAAGGGGCAAUCGGAAUUCUUGGUGUAGCGGUGAAAUGCGUAGAUAUCAAGAGGAACACCUGAGGUGAAGACGGGUUGCUGGGCCAACACUGACGCUGAGGCGCGAAAGCCAGGGGAGCAAACGGGA
This 253-nucleotide ribosomal RNA is filed under the name uncultured prokaryote. Its description in RNAcentral is "partial 16S ribosomal RNA". It matches the Rfam family "Bacterial small subunit ribosomal RNA", at positions 525 to 777 of the family's 1533-position model. The record is from RNAcentral.